CCUACGGGGGGCAGCAGUAGGGAAUCUUCCACAAUGGGCGCAAGCCUGAUGGAGCAACACCGCGUGAGUGAAGAAGGGUUUCGGCUCGUAAAGCUCUGUUGUUGGAGAAGAACGUGCGUGAGAGUAACUGUUCACGCAGUGACGGUAUCCAACCAGAAAGUCACGGCUAACUACGUGCCAGCAGCCGCGGUAAUACGUAGGUGGCAAGCGUUAUCCGGAUUUAUUGGGCGUAAAGCGAGCGCGGGCGGUUGCUUAGGUCUGAUGUGAAAGCCUUCGGCUUAACCGACGAAGUGCAUCGGAAACUGGGCAACUUGAGUGCAGAAGAGGACAGUGGAACUCCAUGUGUAGCGGUGGAAUGCGUAGAUAUAUGGAAGAACACCAGUGGCGAAGGCGGCUGUCUGGUCUGCAACUGACGCUGAGGCUCGAAAGCAUGGGUAGCGAACAGGAUUAGAUACCCUUGUAGUC
Molecule: ribosomal RNA, 465 nt
Filed under: uncultured bacterium
Lineage: Bacteria
Description: partial 16S ribosomal RNA
Rfam family: Bacterial small subunit ribosomal RNA
Source: RNAcentral